This is a long non-coding RNA of Perca flavescens (yellow perch), 843 nucleotides long. RefSeq lists it as uncharacterized. The record is from RefSeq and is a predicted model, not a curated record. The transcript is spliced from 3 exons. NCBI's taxonomy places the organism in Eukaryota, Metazoa, Chordata, Actinopteri, Perciformes, Percidae.
GGCAACGGAUCAAGACUCUCUCAGCUCUCAUGCCUCCAUCCUGUCUGAAGCAGCUCCUGACCUUACUAUGGUAACAGUUGUUCCUGGAGAAUGUCAUUCAGGUUGGCAAUGUCUCCGUCCUCUAUUGCAGCAAUGGACACUUGGAUCCAACCCACCAGCAUCCAACCUUUAAGGACAGAGUGGAGCUGGUGGACAGAGAGCUCAAGGACGGAGAUGUGUCUUUAAUUCUGAAGAAUGUGAGCAGCAUCUACAAUGGGACAUACGAGUGUCGAGAUCAGGUGAUUCAAGACGUAAAAAGAGAGCCAUUAUUGACUUUGAGCCAAUUAGAACCAUCCAACUGCAGGUCACAGUCCCAGGUCAGGAGAGCGCACGCUACAAGGAUGAAAACUCAUUGAAUGAUGGAUGGAAACUCCUCUCCUGUAGGCCGAUACAUUGGACUGGCAGCAGGUGUUCCAGUUGGACUGAUUCUUGUAGUUGCUGCAGUGGUUGGUGUCCUGGCAUAUAAAAGACGUCAGGACAAGAGAUCAAGACAACCUGCUGCUGAUGAUGAUGAUAAAGCAUUGGCCAUUCAGUUCAUCUGACAACUCACAGAGUACUACGAAGCAAGAUUUGGCAUAAUAUAGCUAUACAUAAUAGGUAAUUCCAGGUUCAACCCAGGGUUGUCUGUAUCAUGAUGGUGGAUCACUUGUUACCGAGUUAAAUCACCAUGGUAAUUUAUGCUGAACACCUAACUUGGUCGGGAGAAGGUUAUGUUGGAGAUAAGAGACCAACCAAUCGUUAACCAUCGUUGAUAACGAUGGCGUCACCGUUCUUAGAAGAUGGAGCUCGGUGCAGAGAGAGAGG